RNAcentral lists this ribosomal RNA (254 nucleotides) under uncultured bacterium. RNAcentral's name for it is "partial 16S ribosomal RNA". It matches the Rfam family "Bacterial small subunit ribosomal RNA", at positions 524 to 776 of the family's 1533-position model. The record is from RNAcentral.
UACGUAGGGCGCAAGCGUUGUCCGGAAUUAUUGGGCGUAAAGCGUCCGUAGGCGGGUCGGUAAGUGGCUAGUUAAAACCCGGGGCUCAACCCCGAGGGUGCUAGCCAGACUGCCGUCCUGGAGGUCGGCAGAGGGGGAUGGAAUUCCCGGUGUAGCGGUAAAAUGCUCAAAUAUAUAGAGGAACACCAAUUGGCGAAGGCAGUUAACUAUUCGGUUCCUGACGUUGAGGCACGAAAGCGUGGGGAGCAAGACGG